GUGGGGAAUAUUGGGCAAUGGGCGCAAGCCUGACCCAGCAACGCCGCGUGAAGGAAGAAGGCUUUCGGGUUGUAAACUUCUUUUACCAGGGACGAAACAAAUGACGGUACCUGGUGAAUAAGCCACGGCUAACUACGUGCCAGCAGCCGCGGUAAUACGUAGGUGGCGAGCGUUAUCCGGAUGUAUUGGGUGUAAAGGGCGUGUAGGCGGGACAGCAAGUCAGAUGUGAAAAGCAGAGGCUCAACCUCUGGCCUGCAUUGGAAACUGUGGGUCUUGAGUGUCGGAGAGGUAAUCGGAAUUCCGUGUGUAGCGGGGAAAUGCGUAGAUAUACGGAGGAACACCAGUGGCGAAAGCGGAUUACUGGACGAUAACUGACGCUGAGGCGCGAAAGCGUGGGGAGCAAACAGGAUUAGAAACCCGGGUAGUCC
Molecule: ribosomal RNA, 428 nt
Filed under: uncultured bacterium
Lineage: Bacteria
Description: partial 16S ribosomal RNA
Rfam family: Bacterial small subunit ribosomal RNA
Source: RNAcentral